Cryptomeria japonica (Japanese cedar) is the source of this 2165-nucleotide long non-coding RNA. RefSeq lists it as uncharacterized. The transcript has 2 exons. Lineage: Eukaryota; Viridiplantae; Streptophyta; Pinopsida; Cupressales; Cupressaceae. The record is from RefSeq and is a predicted model, not a curated record.
CACCCAAAGAAAGUUUAGUUUUAAAACAAAUUCCAUAUUAAGGAAGCCCAAGGGAUAGUGCAGAGAAUACCCGAAGAAGGUUUUCAAAGACCAUUGAUUUAAGCAUUCAACUCGUUAAGGGAAGAUACUGUAAAAUUCAGUUAUUUUUUAUCUUGAUUAUUGAGGGUUUUCAUGGACACCGAUUCUUCUUGUUCUAUGAAAUACAUUGAAUGCUGAACAUGCAAGAACUGGAAUGAUGUACACGAUGCUUUUGUAUUUUCUUUCGAGCAUAUAUAAAGGGAAUGGAGACAUUUGGGGUUAGGCUAAAUUGGCCAUUCUCGGAGACAUUUGGGGUUAGGCUAAAUUGGCCAUUCUCGGAUUACUUGUUCAUAAACCUGGGCCGUCGAUUUCAUCUUGUACUUUGAAUGGUCUUGGAUAGUUUGUUUGGGAAUUUUUACUUGGCAGGUUUGCGACAGAAUGAAAUCUCAACUUUAGUAUCACAGUCGUCUCAGAUUCAAGCAAGCAAGGGUUUCUUUUGGAAGCUUCUUGUGUGGGUCAUGACAAAUACAUCCUUCACUCUCACUCUCACCUGUUCUGUCUUGGAUUUAGGCCAGUGAUUUGAUUUUGCUGUCAGAACUGUUAUGUGCAAUGCCUCUUGCAACUCAAGUAUUCUCUCUAAGAGAAUUAAAUAGGAUACAUCUAGUCUUGACAUGUUUCAGAAUUCCUUCUUAGAUAAUGUCCUGAAAAGUGCAUGUGAAGUGUGGUGGUUGCAGAUUAAGCUGUCUCAAUUAAUAUACCUGUAGCUUUGCAUACAUGACCCGCACGUGUAACUACUUGGACCACAUUUUGUGGUCCAACCUCCUUAAUAGCAUCCUUGAGGAUUGGAAACUGAAAUCAACAUAUUUGGAAUGCCUUGAACAAUCAACUGCCUUACAAAAUAUGGGCACUCUGAACAUGUAAAGAUGAUAUUGAUGAGUGGACGGUGCCUAAUGUCUGUCCACCCAUCCAUGACUCUACUGCAUCCACUUUCCACCCAACAUUCCUUCAUUAUCUCUAUUAACACAUUGCCUUGGAAUGGUUCUUAUCCAAGAUUGUGGUCCUCAAUUUGUCUCCCCUAGUGGUACAUAUGAUGGUUCUACCCUUGCUACCAUUGACAUCACUUGCUUAUAUUCAGGAGAUCGAGCCACAUGGAAUGGAAUGCUAUUGGCAAAGAAGAAUUUUCCUGUGACCUCAUUUGCAUCAUCCCUCAUUUGCACAUUUAAUAAUUUAGCUAUUGGGCAAGGAGCAUCAGUUGUUAACUUGUGUUCCUCUUAGUCUCUGCUGCAUGGGCCCCUGAAGAAGAAGUUGGCAUAUGUGCAACUUGCCUUUGCAAAGUAGAAGUAGAACUGCAUGGCUGGCUUUGAUGACCCAUCGGCCUAUGCGACAAAAAAACAGAUAUAGGUGCAACUGCAUUGUCUUCACCAUCGACACUCCAUAGGCUACAUAUCUUAGCCUUGAAUUUCAGGUUGGCCGGUCUCCCCAAAAGCUUACAUAUUUCUACAUCUUUUCCUCAGAUAUGAAGGAGGUGGACAAUAACUCUGGUAAUGCUACCUUGAAAUUCAAGGCCACAAAAGUGGCACUUCCACAAAAUUGUGACCUCAGUUGUCCCAGGCCUGCGUUGUAUUUUUGUUGCAAAUCAUCUUGAAGGAAAUUUAGGAUGAACAGGAUGCUUAGCAAAAUCUGCAAGUAUUGUGGAGGGGCAAUUCAUACUUGCAGUGACACUCGUCAUGGAAUUGGUGGUUUGGGUUUCACUUUCAUGGUCACCCCUCUCAACCUCAGCCUCAAGUGCAUAAUCAGAUUCAAUACUUCCACUUUGAAUGUCAACCUCAUCCUAACUCAUGCCAUGAAAAUUUAUUGUGACACUGCAAUAAACAUUAUAAAAUGUAUGAGUUUAUAACUCUAUGAAUGCAGCAUAAUGCAAAGGAUUAAGACAAAAAGGUUUUAUUUUCUGUUUUUCUUACUUCGAUCACGUUAAGCGCAGAAGCAGAGGAUACACAAAUAAAAAUCUUUGUUCUUAAUCUUUGUCAAUCAAAGAUUCUACUUUUGUUUUAUCUUUGUUUUUCUUGCAAGGCAAUCUCUGGGGUUGUAAGGCAUUAUAGAAACAUUUGAAAAUGCCAUAAUGCACACUAACUCAUCUUCUUUGAAUA